RNAcentral lists this long non-coding RNA (316 nucleotides) under Gossypium raimondii (Peruvian cotton). Its description in RNAcentral is "long non-coding RNA (GRAI_LNC005501)". Lineage: Eukaryota; Viridiplantae; Streptophyta; Magnoliopsida; Malvales; Malvaceae. The record is from RNAcentral.
AAACCCACACCUAAUUUGCAUUCGAUGACGUCCAGACACCGACUCGACCACAAAGGAAUGAAGCUCUCCGAAAUAAAAAUAAAAAUAAAAGCAAAAAAAGGAGAGGGAGAAGGAGAACGUGAAAAGGAAAAGAGUAGUAAAAACUAGAAAAUAAAAAUAAUAAAAUAACACUAAAUAAAGGAAGUAAUUAUCCAAAAUUUUAAAACCAAACAAAAAUAAUCCCUCAAAACACUCUUAAUGACUUGAACCUAAGACCUCAAGCUAAAUUAACACAUAACUAACCACCAAACCAGCAAGCCCAUUCUUAUAUUAAAAC